RNAcentral lists this ribosomal RNA (596 nucleotides) under Candida albicans. RNAcentral's name for it is "LSU rRNA". It matches the Rfam family "Eukaryotic large subunit ribosomal RNA", at positions 47 to 658 of the family's 3401-position model. Lineage: Eukaryota; Fungi; Ascomycota; Pichiomycetes; Serinales; Debaryomycetaceae. The record is from RNAcentral.
UAAGCGGAGGAAAAGAAACCACCAGGGAUUGCCUCAGUAGCGGCGAGUGAAGCGGCAAAAGCUCAAAUUUGAAAUCUGGCGUCUUUGGCGUCCGAGUUGUAAUUUGAAGAAGGUAUCUUUGGGCCCGGCUCUUGUCUAUGUUCCUUGGAACAGGACGUCACAGAGGGUGAGAAUCCCGUGCGAUGAGAUGACCCGGGUCUGUGUAAAGUUCCUUCGACGAGUCGAGUUGUUUGGGAAUGCAGCUCUAAGUGGGUGGUAAAUUCCAUCUAAAGCUAAAUAUUGGCGAGAGACCGAUAGCGAACAAGUACAGUGAUGGAAAGAUGAAAAGAACUUUGAAAAGAGAGUGAAAAAGUACGUGAAAUUGUUGAAAGGGAAGGGCUUGAGAUCAGACUUGGUAUUUUGCAUGCUGCUCUCUCGGGGGCGGCCGCUGCGGUUUACCGGGCCAGCAUCGGUUUGGAGCGGCAGGAUAAUGGCGGAGGAAUGUGGCACGGCUUCUGCUGUGUGUUAUAGCCUCUGACGAUACUGCCAGCCUAGACCGAGGACUGCGGUUUUUACCUAGGAUGUUGGCAUAAUGAUCUUAAGUCGCCCGUCUUGAA